Molecule: ribosomal RNA, 497 nt
Filed under: uncultured bacterium
Lineage: Bacteria
Description: partial 16S ribosomal RNA
Rfam family: Bacterial small subunit ribosomal RNA
Source: RNAcentral
GAUGAACGCUGGCGGCGUGCCUAAUACAUGCAAGUCGAGCGAACGGACGAGAAGCUUGCUUCUCUGAUGUUAGCGGCGGACGGGUGAGUAACACGUGGAUAACCUACCUAUAAGACUGGGAUAACUUCGGGAAACCGGAGCUAAUACCGGAUAAUAUUUUGAACCGCAUGGUUCAAAAGUGAAAGACGGUCUUGCUGUCACUUAUAGAUGGAUCCGCGCUGCAUUAGCUAGUUGGUAAGGUAACGGCUUACCAAGGCAACGAUGCAUAGCCGACCUGAGAGGGGGAUCGGCCACACUGGAACUGAGACACGGUCCAGACUCCUACGGGAGGCAGCAGUAGGGAAUCUUCCGCAAUGGGCGAAAGCCUGACGGAGCAACGCCGCGUGAGUGAUGAAGGUCUUCGGAUCGUAAAACUCUGUUAUUAGGGAAGAACAUAUGUAUAAGUAACUGUGCACAUCUUGACGGUACCUAAUCAGAAAGCCACGGCUAACUACGUG